UUCAUUUCAAAACCAUUUCUUUACAUUUUAAUCAUACGCUUUGACCUCAGAGAUAUAUCAUUUCCCCUGAUUUCCUUCAGCAGCUGCUUUGCAUGAGCACUCAGAGCACCUUCCUUUUGUCUUUCCGUUCAGUUUUACAAAAAAUCAUGAAGAGCUAUGUACUUCUUUAGAAAGAAGAUCUAAAUGAAAUUUAGGUUUGCACUGGGACUUAUAGGAGAAGAAGUUCCAAAUGACAUUGGGUCAGGCGAUUGCCUCUUGACAGAUGUCCCUGGCUGUGAGGGAAAGGGCUAUUCUCAAUAGAAGACUGGAAGAAAGAAAGACAGUGCCCAGCAGCUCCAUAUUUAAAGAGCCAGUCAUAGUCUUCAUUUUGUCCAUCCCAUACCAUUUUGUCCAUUAUUUCUUUGUUCCUUAUUUAUAGCAUUGCCUUUCAUCCUUCCCUGUCUUUGGACAUCCAUUCUAGUGUCAAAAAAGCCAAUCAGUCAUUCCACAAAUUUUGAAGAAGGAUCAAAGGCCACCUUUGCUAUGACUAACACCACUCUCCAGAACAAGAUCAGCCACUCUCUGGCCAGGGACAAGAUCAAGCUGGCUUUGGGGAAGAGCUCCUCUCUGCACCUUCUCCUGCCACCCCAGCUGUCACACCCUGAUCCUCUUGGAAUCCCUGCUCCCUGCCAUCUUCAGCCUCAGAGGAACCCCUAGGAAAUCAAGCCAAUUUCCCCAUGGCAGGUGUGGACCGACAGCUGCUGCCUCUGCUGCUGCUUCAGUGGUGUGGAAUUCAAAUCUCUGGUGGGUGUUUAGAGCCUGCAGAUGGAUUAGCUGAUGAUGCUUGUCCAUCAGCAAGCUUUGCAGUGUCCUGCUGAGCAGGGGUGGGGGCAGCUCCAAAACCAAGCUGUCUUGGAAGACCAAGUGAGCUUCCACACAUCACCUGGCCUCUGGGGUUAGCACUGUGCAGAGCUGGGCUACUCUAGGUUUCUAGAUGGAGCUUUUCAUUGUAUAAAAGUCAGCUUUCCUCAUCAUAGUUGGUACAGAAUGACCUGUUCUCUGCAAGGUCAUGCCACACAACAACCACCAGCAAAUAAAAACCCAAAACCUAGUGAUUCUACAUGGUGGUCUUUGAGAGUUGACCAUAGAUCUAGAGGGAGAAGCUCACUGGUGCUUCAGUGGGUGUCAGUGAACCAAACACAGGGGAUGCAGCUAAGAUAACAGAAGGAUAGGAGCAGAAAUUUCGGCUAAAAUUUUAUGGACACAAUCAGUCUGGCUUCCAGUGUAAUAUAGCAGUAGUAUAACCCCUACAUAGUACAGGGGACCCCGGAGAAACAGACAUUCUAUGAAAUGAGUGGGUGACUUGAUUACAGUAGUGGCUUAAUCUCAAAAGGAGUGGAUAGGUUGGCCAAUUCACUGCACUCACCAGGAGACCAUUGAAAAAGCCAUGGACCCAAGUGUGUCGCAAGAGUAGAGUACAAGCUUCUGGGCUCGUUAGAAUGUGAAGGUAGCAGGAGGGCUGUAGGGAGGACCAUGAAAUUCGGAAAGCUACAGGACUCUAAAAAGAUUCUUUUUCCUUAUGGUUCUCGGGAUUGAACCCAGGGCCUUGCACAUGAUAGGUAAGUGCUCUACCACUGAGCUACACCCCAGGCCUCAGUGUUUCAUAAUCUGUAAGAUGAAUAGGAGUAGGGUGGUCCAGCUCAGCAGAGGGCUUUUCUAGGAGCCACAUGAAGUAGCUGCAUUUCUGCUUCCAGGACUUCCCAGCAAAAUGGAAGCAGCUAUAUGGAGGAAGAUGAGGUUAAACUCCUAACUCUGAGAAUUUGGGCAGCAUUGGAAAGUAUCACCUGGAAGGGAGCAGAGUUCUCUCCAGAUUGUAAGGAAGUAUAGAUGAGUGUUUUUGAAGGCUUACAGGUAUGAAUGGGGUCAGCCUUAUUUCAAGGAUAAAUGAAC
This 1929-nucleotide long non-coding RNA is filed under the name Chinchilla lanigera (long-tailed chinchilla). RNAcentral's name for it is "lncRNA (ENSCLAG00000023095.1)". The record is from RNAcentral. Lineage: Eukaryota; Metazoa; Chordata; Mammalia; Rodentia; Chinchillidae.